Scatophagus argus is the source of this 1534-nucleotide long non-coding RNA. RefSeq lists it as uncharacterized. The record is from RefSeq and is a predicted model, not a curated record. The transcript has 7 exons. NCBI's taxonomy places the organism in Eukaryota, Metazoa, Chordata, Actinopteri, Scatophagidae.
AACCCAUCCAGGCGCUGGUGGUGGAGGACGUGUGCUGACCCGCCAGGAGGAGGCCAAUCAGCAUCCCUGCGAUCUCGUUAUCAUUCAGGGGUCGUCCGUCUCUGAGGGGGACGCAAAGUCCUUUUAAGCAUGUUUCAGGGUGGCAUCGAUGAGGGUCUGCAGGAUGUCGUCCACUUUCUCUACAGACUGCCUGCGUUUCUGGAUCACCUUGAAGAAGAUGUUUUUGAUCUCUCUCAGGUCUGUGUGUCUUACCUGAAACUGGGCAAGGGCAGCCAGCCGGGCAGGAGCCAGGCAGCAUGACUGAAACCUCCGUCCAGGUCGGCGUAAAGCUGCGCCACUCGCUCAUCCAGCAUGCUGCGGAUCUCCUUCCCAUGAAGGCAGCUGCUGGCCGUCAGGAUGAUCAGCUCAGACAAAGCCUCAAACAGAAAGAUCUGCAGCAUUAUGAAGAAAGCACGCAUCAUACAGUGGCUGACUUCAUCCAACUGCAGUUGGACUCACGUUGUUCGGGACGUCGUAGGCUACUCCUUUGCCAAACACUGGAGUGGUCAGUCGGGAGUAGACGUCCUCGGCAUUCAGGUCCUCGUUCUUGCUGUUGAACAUCAGCGUGGCUGCUUCGCUGCCCAGCAGUUGCCAUAGAUGAUCUGCAGCAGGAGGCUGGCCAGUGUGAUCAGUUUGCUGUCCGGAGCAGGAAAGAAGCCCUUCAGGAGGCAGUGUCGGGCCUCAUCGAAAAGAAUGAGGAUGGCCAGAGGAUCCUCCACCUGGAACAAAACACACAAUAAGUGAGGAACCUUUUUCUCAAUUUCAAGAGGCAGCCGAACGUCCCUGCGGAGGAAGAGCUGAGGCGUUUCCCUCUGAGGAUCCAGCACCGUCAGGUCUGUCACUAUCUCCGUCCAGAUCCGCAGGUGCUGCAGAGGCUUGUGGUACGGCUUCAGCUGCAGGUCUGACACACAAAAUGAACACACCCUGUUAGCCACAGGUUGAAUUAGAGAGCAACUCCAGCACUUGUCCUACGAGUGAACUCACGGAGGUUCUCAGAGCAGAUCCAGAUGGUAAAGUACUGCUGGGUGUCCUGCGAAAGUCGCAUGCCUUCCAUGAUCUGCUGCACUGUUGUGUUAUUGCCAUGCUUUAGCUCCACAGAGCGAUAUGAGCCGUCCAUGCGGUAGAUGCGCACCUUCUCAUACUGUGGAACAUAGAAACACACAUGCAUACAAACCAUAAACAAGAAGACAAGAAGUGAAGCAGCUCAGUCCAUUUGUCAUGAAAGAGUAAAAUUUAUUUUAAAACUACAAUUCCCACCAUGUGAUUGUUGCAGGAAUUCUAGAGUUAGGGCUAAUAAUGUUUUUUGGAAGGUCAAUAAUGUUUUUUGGAAGGUGACCUCUGACCACCAACAAACAGGGACGGAUGGCUGACAACCCAAAAACAUAAUACCUCCAGCCAUGGUCACCCUCUGUGCUUAGGCAUAAUACUUGAGGAGAUAGCCCCAUCUAGUGAUCAGCGGAUUUAACUGUCACAAAAAUAUGUACUUGCAAAAUCA